CUAUUAAUAAUUUAAUUAAAAUUUUAAUUUGUGAAUUUAAAUAUAAUUUAUUUAUAUAUUUUUAUAAUAAAUUUUUUUUUUUAGA
RNAcentral lists this transfer RNA (85 nucleotides) under Orseolia oryzae (Asian rice gall midge). RNAcentral describes it as "tRNA-His". Lineage: Eukaryota; Metazoa; Arthropoda; Insecta; Diptera; Cecidomyiidae. The record is from RNAcentral.